UAGGAACCAAUAAAAGUUAGUAUUCAUCAUUAACACAAAUAAACGAAGAAUAAAAAAAAUACAAGAUAUAAAAGUCAUCAAUGUGUGCCACAUGAAGGAGGCUUCCUUCUUCGUUGUGGCCGUUGGUGACAUCUUUCCAACUCGGAUUGAUCUGAGGGACCAUCUAAUGUUGCUUCAUUUCCUCGUCUUCGUCCCCGUCCUCGUCCUCGACCUCUUCCUCGUCCACGUCCUUCAUCUUGCACUUGUGCCUCUAGAUGUUGUUCA
RNAcentral lists this long non-coding RNA (264 nucleotides) under Vitis vinifera (wine grape). RNAcentral's name for it is "long non-coding RNA (VVIN_LNC007888)". The record is from RNAcentral. Lineage: Eukaryota; Viridiplantae; Streptophyta; Magnoliopsida; Vitales; Vitaceae.